GAGAUUAGAAAUAAACCCUUGGCUCUUUGAUUUCUGAGUGACUCACACAGAAAACCUGACGUUUUGCCAUUGAUGUUUUUAGACGUUCUAUUGUGGCGGCUGGAAAUGAGAAAAACACACCAGACAGCAACACGGGCCACAAAAGGAGGGUAGAACCAAAAAUGCAUCUUUUCAGGAAGUGAUGGACAAACUCCAGAGGUUAAAUCAGGAGAUAAGCCGAGCUGUCUAACUAGGACGAUAACUCCGCAGCGCACGUCAUCUGAGGGAAGCAAUCAAAAGCCCUCCGGCUCAACUCGACGCCGCCGCCAUCCCUCGCUCACCUUCAGCUGCUGUUUUGUUCUUCAUUCAUGUCGGGCCUUCCUCCGCCGGCCCGUUUGACUGACAGUUUUCUCUGAGGGAAACGACAACAACAACAACUUCUGAGCGAGGAACCCUCCCCUCAGCACUGACCCGGUCCAUAAUG
Molecule: long non-coding RNA, 463 nt
Filed under: Sparus aurata (gilthead seabream)
Lineage: Eukaryota; Metazoa; Chordata; Actinopteri; Spariformes; Sparidae
Description: lncRNA (ENSSAUG00010011065.1)
Source: RNAcentral